GGAUCUCGGCUGGAAUUAAUCCCGAAACAGGGGAAUAGUAGGAAUCUGAUAACGUUGGGAUUCACGGAAGGCUAGGAAUGAAUGAAUCCUGAGUUCGGUGGGCAAUGAAGACGGGAUCCUAAGAUUUGUUGAACUUGUUUCGCUGAGAGAAGAUCUCAGAAGCUGGGAUUUGAGGUUGGAGCUUAUCCGGGAACAAGAGGAAGGGCGGACGACUGGAUUGGUUUGAGACGUUGAAGAUUUGCUGGGAGUGACCGCACGGGAUACUGAAGCUUAUCCCGUGGAUGAUGGAAGCUGCGAACUGGAGGAAGGUUGGCUCGAUUCGAGAGAAGAAAUCUGGAAGUGAGAAUCUCGGAUUCCUGUUAAUAUGGAUGCUGGAGUUAAUCUGGAACGCUGGGGCGGUAAUCUUUGAAUUUAUCCAUGACUCUGUUCCGCUGAAGCAGGGGAUGAUGUGGAGGAAAUUCGGAAAUGCUGGAUGGUGUUCACGGCUGAGAAGAGAUGCCGGAAGAAUUGGGAAGAUAAGGAUGAAUCGAGGGAGAAGGAAGGUUGGGAU
RNAcentral lists this long non-coding RNA (550 nucleotides) under Phoenix dactylifera (date palm). RNAcentral's name for it is "long non-coding RNA (PDAC_LNC021953)". The record is from RNAcentral. Lineage: Eukaryota; Viridiplantae; Streptophyta; Magnoliopsida; Arecales; Arecaceae.